GUUCGGAACAACACAGGGAAACUUGUGCUAAUACCGGAUGAGCCCUUCGGGGGAAARAUUUAUCGCCUUUGGAGCGGCCCGCGUCUGAUUAKCUAGUUGGUGAGGUAAUGGCUCACCAAGGCGACKAUCAKUAKCUGGUCUGARAGGAUGGCCAGCCMCACUGGGACUGAGACACGGCCCASACUCCUACGGGAGGCAGCAGUGGGGAAUCUUGCGCAAUGGGSGAAAGCCUGACGCASCCAUGCCGCGUGGAUGAUGAAGGUCUUARGAUUGUAAAAUCCUUUCACCGGGGACGAUAAUGACGGUACCCGGARAARAARCCCCGGCUAACUUCGUGCCAGCAGCCGCGGUAAUACRAAGGGGGCUAGCGUUGCUCGGAAUUACUGGGCGUAAAGGGCGCGUAKGCGGACAGUUAAGUUGGGGGUGAAAGCCCGGGGCUCAACCUCRGAAUUGCCUUCAAUACUGGCUGUCUUGAGUACGGGAGAGGUGAGUGGAACUCCGAGUGU
RNAcentral lists this ribosomal RNA (506 nucleotides) under Caulobacter mirabilis. RNAcentral describes it as "partial 16S ribosomal RNA". The record is from RNAcentral. Lineage: Bacteria; Pseudomonadati; Pseudomonadota; Alphaproteobacteria; Caulobacterales; Caulobacteraceae.